AAUCAACGCUGGCGGCGUGCCUCAGACAUGCAAGUCGAACGAGAAAGUUCCCUUCGGGGGAUGAGUAAAGUGGCGCACGGGUGAGUAACACGUAGGUAAUCUACCUUCGGGUGGGGAAUAACCCAGGGAAACUUGGGCUAACACCGCAUAAUGCAGCGGCACCACAUGGUGACAGUUGUUAAAGCGGGGGAUUUUAGGACCUCGCGCCUGGAGAGGAGUCUGCGGCGGAUUAGCUUGUUGGAAGGUAACGGCUUACCAAGGCGACGAUCCGUAACCGGCCUGAGAGGGCGGUCGGUCACACUGACACUGACAUACGGGUCAGACUCCUACGGGAGGCAGCAGUCGGGAAUUUUGGGCAAUGGGCGAAAGCCUGACCCAGCAACGCCGCGUGAA
RNAcentral lists this ribosomal RNA (393 nucleotides) under uncultured bacterium. RNAcentral describes it as "bacterial SSU rRNA". It matches the Rfam family "Bacterial small subunit ribosomal RNA", at positions 32 to 405 of the family's 1533-position model. The record is from RNAcentral.